UACGGAGGGGGCAAGCAUUAAUCGGAUUUAUUGGGCGUAAAGGGCGCGUAGGCGGGAAGGUAAGUCAGAUGUGAAAUCCCAAGGCUCAACCUUGGAACUGCAUUUGAUACUGCCUUUCUUGAGGGUAGAAGGAGAAAGUUGAAUUCCACAAGUAGCGGUGAAAUGCGUAGAUAUGUGGAAGAACACCAGUGGCGAAGGCGACUUUCUAUUUUACUCCUGACGCUGAGGCGCGAAAGCUAGGGGAGCAAACAGG
This 253-nucleotide ribosomal RNA is filed under the name uncultured bacterium. Its description in RNAcentral is "partial 16S ribosomal RNA". It matches the Rfam family "Bacterial small subunit ribosomal RNA", at positions 524 to 776 of the family's 1533-position model. The record is from RNAcentral.